UGAAUCAGUGUGUGUGUUAGUGGAAGCGUCUGGAAAGGCGCGCGAUACAGGGUGACAGCCCCGUACACAAAAAUGCACAUAUUGUGAGCUCGAUGAGUAGGGCGGGACACGUGGUAUCCUGUCUGAAUAUGGGGGGACCAUCCUCCAAGGCUAAAUACUCCUGACUGACCGAUAGUGAACCAGUACCGUGAGGGAAAGGCGAAAAGAACCCCGGCGAGGGGAGUGAAAAAGAACCUGAAACCGUGUACGUACAAGCAGUGGGAGCCUCUUUAUGGGGUGACUGCGUACCUUUUGUAUAAUGGGUCAGCGACUUAUAUUCUGUAGCAAGGUUAACCGAAUAGGGGAGCCGAAGGGAAACCGAGUCUUAACUGGGCGUUAAGUUGCAGGGUAUAGACCCGAAACCCGGUGAUCUAGCCAUGGGCAGGUUGAAGGUUGGGUAACACUAACUGGAGGACCGAACCGACUAAUGUUGAAAAAUUAGCGGAUGACUUGUGGCUGGGGGUGAAAGGCCAAUCAAACCGGGAGAUAGCUGGUUCUCCCCGAAAGCUAUUUAGGUAGCGCCUCGUGAAUUCAUCUCCGGGGGUAGAGCACUGUUUCGGCAAGGGGGUCAUCCCGACUUACCAACCCGAUGCAAACUGCGAAUACCGGAGAAU
This 653-nucleotide ribosomal RNA is filed under the name Escherichia coli. Its description in RNAcentral is "partial 23S ribosomal RNA". It matches the Rfam family "Bacterial large subunit ribosomal RNA", at positions 313 to 971 of the family's 2925-position model. The record is from RNAcentral. Lineage: Bacteria; Pseudomonadati; Pseudomonadota; Gammaproteobacteria; Enterobacterales; Enterobacteriaceae.